UGGGGAAUAUUGCACAAUGGGCGCAAGCCUGAUGCAGCAACGCCGCGUGAACGAUGAAGGUCUUCGGAUCGUAAAGUUCUGUUGCAGGGGAAGAUAAUGACGGUACCCUGUGAGGAAGCCCCGGCUAACUACGUGCCAGCAGCCGCGGUAAUACGUAGGGGGCUAGCGUUAUCCGGAUUUACUGGGCGUAGAGGGUGCGUAGGUGGUCUUUCAAGUCGGUGGUUAAAGGCUACGGCUCAACCGUAGUUAGCCUCCGAAACUGGAAGACUUGAGUGCAGGAGAGGAAAGUGGAAUUCCCAGUGUAGCGGUGAAAUGCGUAGAUAUUGGGAGGAACACCAGUAGCGAAGGCGGCUUUCUGGACUGCAACUGACACUGAGGCACGAAAGCGUGGGUAGCAAACAGG
RNAcentral lists this ribosomal RNA (403 nucleotides) under Verrucomicrobiota bacterium. Its description in RNAcentral is "Verrucomicrobia bacterium partial 16S ribosomal RNA". It matches the Rfam family "Bacterial small subunit ribosomal RNA", at positions 355 to 776 of the family's 1533-position model. The record is from RNAcentral. Lineage: Bacteria; Pseudomonadati; Verrucomicrobiota.